This 76-nucleotide transfer RNA is filed under the name Deltaproteobacteria bacterium. RNAcentral's name for it is "tRNA-Thr". It matches the Rfam family "tRNA". Rfam says of the family: Transfer RNA (tRNA) molecules are approximately 80 nucleotides in length. Their secondary structure includes four short double-helical elements and three loops (D, anti-codon, and T loops). Further hydrogen bonds mediate the characteristic L-shaped molecular structure. tRNAs have two regions of fundamental functional importance: the anti-codon, which is responsible for specific mRNA codon recognition, and the 3' end, to which the tRNAs corresponding amino acid is attached (by aminoacyl-tRNA synthetases). tRNAs cope with the degeneracy of the genetic code in two manners: having more than one tRNA (with a specific anti-codon) for a particular amino acid; and 'wobble' base-pairing, i.e. permitting non-standard base-pairing at the 3rd anti-codon position. The record is from RNAcentral. Lineage: Bacteria; Pseudomonadati; Myxococcota; Myxococcia.
GCUGACGUAGCUCAAUUGGUAGAGCAGCUGAUUUGUAAUCAGCAGGUUGCGGGUUCAAGUCCCACCGUCAGCUCCA